UUUAUCCUCUGUCGUCAUGCUGAAGGCUAUGCCAGUAAUCUUUGGCUCCAAUAAUGCACUUUCUUUGUUCAUGUAUUUAUGCCUAUCCGUUUCAGUCUUUGCUAGUAGUGAGCUCAUCUAUGAAAAUGAGAUGACAAUAUGAGAAAACGAUAAAUUCCCUUUCUGUUCAACAAAGAUUGCAAAACAAUAAUCAUCAAUGCGAAAUUCGUCUACUUCCUAACUCUUAAUUCCACGAUUUGACCCCAUGGGUCGGCACUUCUUGCAAAUAUCUUCACCAAAUUUUCAGUUUAACCCUAGCUUUUUCCACUUGCAAUCAAUUCAACUGCUCACAUUGUGAAAAUCAAGAAAAACGACAGCUCUCUAUUGAACAGUAACAUGAGUUCGUAAUUGCUGGCAAAAGUUUCUCCAUUAUUUGCACAUACCCAGAUAUUCUUAGAUGGAGAUUCUUGCUUAGCAAGAGAAAAAAGAGUAAGCUGGCAAAGACCCACUUCAGAAUUAGUACAGAAAUCUAAACGGCAUGAAGAAGAAUCUAAUUUCUUCCCACAGUUUAUGUACAUUUCCUAGCCCAGGAGCAGGGAACUAUCAGGAGAAGGGAUGGAGCUCAGAGCGAGUACCCCAUCCAUCAGGGAGCAGCAGGAGGCAUAUCAGUGCCUUGACGCCUUUUUACAGUGGCAGGACAAUGCCUUCCAAAUGGGAAGAUGCUGAGAGGUGGAUAUGUAGCCCGGUUCUGGGUUAUGGUGUUGCCAAAUACUCGCAGUGUCAGCCUCAGAGGCGUCCCAAGUCCAAGAGUGGGCCUAUUGUGCCUCCAGGGAUUUCAUACUAUUCUAAUUAUUCGCCUU
Molecule: unclassified non-coding RNA, 839 nt
Filed under: Hevea brasiliensis (rubber tree)
Lineage: Eukaryota; Viridiplantae; Streptophyta; Magnoliopsida; Malpighiales; Euphorbiaceae
Source: RNAcentral